Thalassophryne amazonica is the source of this 115-nucleotide long non-coding RNA. RefSeq lists it as uncharacterized. The record is from RefSeq and is a predicted model, not a curated record. NCBI's taxonomy places the organism in Eukaryota, Metazoa, Chordata, Actinopteri, Batrachoidiformes, Batrachoididae. The transcript has 4 exons.
UUCGAAAAUGGAUGCAUGGGCAGGAAGUCUGGAGUGACAGAUAAGUAUGUGAGGGUGGUGCAGGAUAUGUACAAGGACAGUGUGACAGAGGUGAGAUGUGUGGUAGGAAUUACAU